CCCUUAGAGUUUGAUCCUGGCUCAGAUUGAACGCUGGCGGUAGGCUUAACACAUGCAAGUCGAGCGGUAACAGACAUUUUGAUUUUGCUUGCAAAAUCUCGUGCUGACGAGCGGCGAACGGGUGAGUAACGCGUAGGAAUCUACCUAGUAGAAGGGGAUAGCCCGAGGAAACUCGGAUUAAUACCGUAUACGUCCUUAGGGAGAAAGAGGGCUUAGCUUUGAUGCUCUCGCUAUUAGAUGAGCCUGCGUAAGAUUAGCUUGUUGGUGAGGUAAAGGCUCACCAAGGCGACGAUCUUUAGCUGGUCUGAGAGGACGAUCAGCCACAUUGGGACUGAGACACGGCCCAGACUCCUACGGGAGGCAGCAGUGGGGAAUAUUGGACAAUGGGCGCAAGCCUGAUCCAGCCAUACCGCGUGUGUGAAGAAGGCCUUCGGGUUGUAAAGCACUUUAAGUAAGGAAGAAAAGAGUAUUGUUAAUACCAAUACUCCGUGACAUUACUUACAGAAUAAGGACCGGCUAAUUCCGUGCCAGCAGCCGCGGUAAUACGGAAGGUCCAAGCGUUAAUCGGAAUUACUGGGCGUAAAGCGCGCGUAGGUGGUUUAUUAAAGUUGGGUGUGAAAGCCCCCGGGGCUCAACCUGGGGAACUGCAUCCCAAAAACUGGAUUCACUAGGAGUAC
RNAcentral lists this ribosomal RNA (677 nucleotides) under uncultured Gammaproteobacteria bacterium. RNAcentral's name for it is "bacterial SSU rRNA". It matches the Rfam family "Bacterial small subunit ribosomal RNA", at positions 1 to 650 of the family's 1533-position model. Lineage: Bacteria; Pseudomonadati; Pseudomonadota; Gammaproteobacteria. The record is from RNAcentral.